CAGCAGCCGCGGUAAAACGUAGGGUGCAAGCGUUAAUCGGAAUUACUGGGCGUAAAGCGUGCGCAGGCGGUUAUAUAAGACAGAUGUGAAAUCCCCGGGCUCAACCUGGGAACUGCAUUUGUGACUGUAUAGCUAGAGUACGGCAGAGGGGGAUGGAAUUCCGCGUGUAGCAGUGAAAUGCGUAGAUAUGCGGAGGAACACCGAUGGCGAAGGCAAUCCCCUGGGCCUGUACUGACGCUCAUGCACGAAAGCGUGGGGAGCAAACAGGAUUAGGUACCCCAGUAGUCCCUGUCUCUUAUAC
This 301-nucleotide ribosomal RNA is filed under the name uncultured bacterium. RNAcentral's name for it is "partial 16S ribosomal RNA". It matches the Rfam family "Bacterial small subunit ribosomal RNA", at positions 509 to 807 of the family's 1533-position model. The record is from RNAcentral.